AUGAUGCCAUCACUUAAGGUAGAUUUGAAAAAUUAUUUGCUUGGACAUGAUCAUACACACCCUGUUAGUGGCAUUACUCUCAUUUGUGAUGAUCACAAUUACUUUCCUCGUGCUAGUUCUAUUCUUAAUGAAACAUAUCAUUCCCAUGCUAGUGUUGAGCUUAAUGAUGAAUAUCAUCCUCAUGUUAGUGUUGACCUUGCUGAUUUCUACCAUCCUAAACAUGUGCUUUAUAGCUAUGCUUAUGUAAUUGGAUACUCGAUUGAUGACUUCGAGGGUAUUAUCCCUACCGCUUGCAUUGUCUCUUUUGUGGAGUGUUUUUUCAGGUUGUUGCUUCUGCACCGUUCACUUCAUGCUGACCAGGUUUGA
This 366-nucleotide ribosomal RNA is filed under the name Triticum aestivum (bread wheat). Its description in RNAcentral is "partial small subunit ribosomal RNA". Lineage: Eukaryota; Viridiplantae; Streptophyta; Magnoliopsida; Poales; Poaceae. The record is from RNAcentral.